UGGGGAAUAUUGGACAAUGGGCGAAAGCCUGAUCCAGCGACGCCGCGUGAGGGAUGACGGCCUUCGGGUUAUAAACCUCUUUCAGCACCGACGAAGCGCAAGUGACGGUAGGUGCAGAAGAAGGACCGGCCAACUACGUGCCAGCAGCCGCGGUAAUACGUAGGGUCCGAGCGUUGUCCGGAAUUAUUGGGCGUAAAGGGCUCGUAGGCGGUUUGUCGCGUCGGGAGUGAAAACACCGGGCUUAACUCGGUGCUUGCUUUCGAUACGGGCAGACUUGAGGUAUGCAGGGGAGAACGGAAUUCCUGGUGUAGCGGUGAAAUGCGCAGAUAUCAGGAGGAACACCGGUGGCGAAGGCGGUUCUCUGGGCAUUACCUGACGCUGAGGAGCGAAAGUGUGGGGAGCGAA
This 405-nucleotide ribosomal RNA is filed under the name uncultured bacterium. RNAcentral's name for it is "bacterial SSU rRNA". It matches the Rfam family "Bacterial small subunit ribosomal RNA", at positions 355 to 772 of the family's 1533-position model. The record is from RNAcentral.